Molecule: long non-coding RNA, 853 nt
Organism: Penaeus monodon (black tiger shrimp)
Lineage: Eukaryota; Metazoa; Arthropoda; Malacostraca; Decapoda; Penaeidae
Exons: 2
Source: RefSeq, a predicted model, not a curated record
UCUCCCUUUGUUCUUAGAUAACAAAAUCACCCCCUGUUCAAGUGACACUCUCGGCUCCAUGCAGUAUCCAUUGAGUAAGCUCCCGGCAGACAAGGUUAUAGCUCGUCAAGUAGAGCUGAAGGAUUUCAUCUCGGCCUUGCAGACGACACCACGCACAGUCUCGCCCAAGGUUGUUCAGCAGCACUACGAGUUCUCCAUGGCAUCCAGCCAUAGUUAGGGCUUGGAAGCUUUCCUCGUGCUGUUCCUUUUCUCUCUUCUCUGAGAUAUCUUGAUAGUAUAUUGGAAGAUGAUGAUUUUUCUGUUAAGAAGAAAAUAAAGAAUUACUUAAUGUGAUUACUAGUCAUAAUAGAGAAUACAGCCAAUCAUUUUGAAAAUGUUUAUUUUCAGUAUGUAUAUUUAUAAAUACUGUUAUUGAAUUUAUUUCUUCCUUGUAAAGGAAGCAUUAUGAUCAAAGCUAUCAAGCUUGCUCGUAUAUUUUGUAAAUAUAUUUUUCUUUAAAAAGAGAACAUUUUCCAUUAUAUAGGAAGAUGAUAUUAUUAUGUGUGAUAUAGUUUAAGGGAGAUGGAUAUCAAGUAACUAUAUUCACCCACCUCCAGUUUGGGACGUGCUGAAUUGUGAAUAAAAUAAGCCGUAGUUUGUGCACGAAACUUGUGAGGUGGUUCACUUUGAUUUGUAUGGUUGUUAAGCCUUUGGAAAUCUUUCAGAUAAGAUAGAUAUAUAUAUAUUUUUUGUAUUUUCCACUUUAUUAUAUUGUCUACUUUGUUUGUCACUAUUCCUUUGAUUGAAUUAUCUUCAUUUUCGUGUUUUCUUUUCUUCUGUUAUACGUUUAAUAAUUAAAGUGAUGACUCUUUUA